This 583-nucleotide ribosomal RNA is filed under the name uncultured bacterium. RNAcentral describes it as "bacterial SSU rRNA". It matches the Rfam family "Bacterial small subunit ribosomal RNA", at positions 340 to 916 of the family's 1533-position model. The record is from RNAcentral.
UACGGGAGGCAGCAGUGGGGAAUUUUGGACAAUGGGGGAAACCCUGAUCCAGCAAUGCCGCGUGUGCGAAGAAGGCCUUCGGGUUGUAAAGCACUUUUGUCAGGGAAGAAAUCCUUUGGGCUAAUACCCUAGGGGGAUGACGGUACCUGAAGAAUAAGCACCGGCUAACUACGUGCCAGCAGCCGCGGUAAUACGUAGGGUGCAAGCGUUAAUCGGAAUUACUGGGCGUAAAGCGUGCGCAGGCGGUUGUGUAAGACAGGUGUGAAAUCCCCGGGCUUAACCUGGGAAUUGCAUUUGUGACUGCACGACUAGAGUGUGUCAGAGGGGGGUGGAAUUCCACGUGUAGCAGUGAAAUGCGUAGAUAUGUGGAGGAACACCAAUGGCGAAGGCAGCCCCCUGGGAUAACACUGACGCUCAUGCACGAAAGCGUGGGGAGCAAACAGGAUUAGAUACCCUGGUAGUCCACGCCCUAAACGAUGUCAACUAGUUGUUGGGGAUUUACUUCCUUGGUAACGUAGCUAACGCGUGAAGUUGACCGCCUGGGGAGUACGGCCGCAAGGUUAAAACUCAAAGGAAUUGACGG